AUGGACGAAGGUCUGACCGAGCAACGCCGCGUGAGUGAAGAAGGUUUUCGGAUCGUAAAGCUCUGUUGUAAGUCAAGAACGUGUGUGAGAGUGGAAAGUUCACACAGUGACGGUAGCUUACCAGAAAGGGACGGCUAACUACGUGCCAGCAGCCGCGGUAAUACGUAGGUCCCGAGCGUUGUCCGGAUUUAUUGGGCGUAAAGGGAGCGCAGGCGGUCAGGAAAGUCUGGAGUAAAAGGCUAUGGCUCAACCAUAGUGUGCUCUGGAAACUGUCUGACUUGAGUGCAGAAGGGGAGAGUGGAAUUCCAUGUGUAGCGGUGAAAUGCGUAGAUAUAUGGAGGAACACCAGUGGCGAAAGCGGCUCUCUGGUCUGUCACUGACGCUGAGGCUCGAAAGCGUGGGUAGCGAACAGGAUUAGAUACCCUGGUAGUCCACGCCGUAAACGAUGAGUGCUAGGUGUUAGGCCCUUUCCGGGGCUUAGUGCCGGAGCUAACGCAAUAAGCACUCCGCCUGGGGAGUACGACCGCAAGGUUGAAACCCAAAGGAAUUGACGGGGGCCCGCACAAGCGGUGGAGCAUGUGGUUUAAUUCGAAGCAAUGCGAAGAACCUUACCAGGUCUUGACAUCCCGAUGCUAUUCUUAGAGAUAGGAAGUUACUUCGGUACAUCGGAGACAGGUGGUGCAUGGUUGUCGUCAGCUCGUGUCGUGAGAUGU
Molecule: ribosomal RNA, 713 nt
Filed under: Streptococcus mutans
Lineage: Bacteria; Bacillati; Bacillota; Bacilli; Lactobacillales; Streptococcaceae
Description: bacterial SSU rRNA
Rfam family: Bacterial small subunit ribosomal RNA
Source: RNAcentral